This 501-nucleotide ribosomal RNA is filed under the name uncultured bacterium. RNAcentral describes it as "bacterial SSU rRNA". It matches the Rfam family "Bacterial small subunit ribosomal RNA", at positions 8 to 521 of the family's 1533-position model. The record is from RNAcentral.
AGAGUUUGAUCCUGGCUCAGGACGAACGCUGGCGGCGUGCUUAACACAUGCAAGUCGAACGGAGUUAAGGGGGCUUGCUCCUUAACUUAGUGGCGAACGGGUGAGUAACGCGUGAGGAACCUGCCUUUCAGUGGGGGACAACAGUUGGAAACGACUGCUAAUACCGCAUGAUACUAUUGGGCCGCAUGGUCUGAUAGUCAAAGAUUUAUUGCUGAAAGAUGGCCUCGCGUCUGAUUAGCUAGUUGGUGGGGUAACGGCCCACCAAGGCGACGAUCAGUAGCCGGACUGAGAGGUUGACCGGCCACAUUGGGACUGAGAUACGGCCCAGACUCCUACGGGAGGCAGCAGUGGGGAAUAUUGGGCAAUGGGCGAAAGCCUGACCCAGCAACGCCGCGUGAAGGAAGAAGGCCUUCGGGUUGUAAACUUCUUUUACCAGGGACGAACACAAUGACGGUACCUGGAGAAAAAGCCCACGGCUAACUACGUGCCAGCAGCCGCGGU